CCUACGGGAGGCUGCAGUGGGGAAUAUUGGACAAUGGGGGGAACCCUGAUCCAGCGACGCCGCGUGAGUGAAGAAGGAUUUCGGGAGGUAAAGCUCUAGCAGCAGGGAAGAAAAGGACGGUACCUGACUAAGAAGCCCCGGCUAACUACGUGCCAGCAGCCGCGGUAAUACGUAGGGGGCAAGCGUUAUCCGGAUUUACUGGGUGUCAAGGGAGCGUAGACGGGGCGGCAAGUCGGAUGUGAAAGGGCGGGGCCCACCCCCGGGACUGCAUUGGAAACUGUUGAACUGGAGUACAGGAGAGGUAAGCGGAAUUCCUCGUGUAGCGGUGCAUUGCUUAGAUAUUAGGAGGAACACCAGUGGCGAAGGCGGCUUACUGGACUGUACCUGCCGUUGAGGCUCGAAAGCGUGGGGAGCAAACAGGAUUAGCUACCCUAGUAGUC
This 440-nucleotide ribosomal RNA is filed under the name uncultured bacterium. RNAcentral describes it as "partial 16S ribosomal RNA". It matches the Rfam family "Bacterial small subunit ribosomal RNA", at positions 338 to 795 of the family's 1533-position model. The record is from RNAcentral.